Long non-coding RNA from Protobothrops mucrosquamatus (brown spotted pit viper), 371 nucleotides. RefSeq lists it as uncharacterized. The record is from RefSeq and is a predicted model, not a curated record. Lineage: Eukaryota; Metazoa; Chordata; Lepidosauria; Squamata; Viperidae. The transcript is spliced from 3 exons.
UAUUAUUUGCAUACCUUGGAGAAUUCGCCCUGCAGGGACAUCAACCCUGAAUUACAGGAUUGUAGGACUGACUUACAACCUACCAGUGAACAACAACAGAUCUUGAACCACGCCUUUAAAACACCUGGAGAGAGGGUAAAAAUUGUGGCUUUUGCAGGCACUGGGAAAACGUACACACUGAUCCAGUACACCAAGAAAUGGUCCGAGCUUAAGUUCUUGUACUUGACGUUCAACAGAUCCGUCCGAGAACAGGCGGAACAGCUUUUCCCUACGAACGUCACCUGUAAAACCUUCCACUCCUUAGCUUACAAAGCAGUCAAAAAACUGUAAGGAGCUGCCUCCUAUUUAAUGAAUCUUAAAAAACAGUGAUG